This 253-nucleotide ribosomal RNA is filed under the name uncultured bacterium. RNAcentral's name for it is "partial 16S ribosomal RNA". It matches the Rfam family "Bacterial small subunit ribosomal RNA", at positions 524 to 776 of the family's 1533-position model. The record is from RNAcentral.
UACGUAGGGGGCAAGCGUUGUCCGGAAUCAUUGGGCGUAAAGAGCGUGUAGGCGGCCAGAAAAGUCCGCUGUGAAAACUCGAGGCUCAACUUCGAGCUGUCGGUGGAAACUUUCUGGCUAGAGUCCGGAAGAGGAGAAUGGAAUUCCUGGUGUAGCGGUGAAAUGCGCAGAUAUCAGGAAGAACACCCGUGGCGAAGGCGGUUCUCUGGGCAUUACCUGACGCCGAGGAGCGAAAGCUAGGGGAGCAAACAGG